AAUCCAUGUUGUGGGAACUUUCGCAAAAGAUCCUUGGAUCAUUCCCAUGUCUCAAACAAAGACUCGGGCUCCAUCUGAACAAACAACGAUAUCUCAUUAUGAAGAUU
This is a small nucleolar RNA of Dioscorea cayenensis subsp. rotundata (Guinea yam), 107 nucleotides long. The record is from RefSeq and is a predicted model, not a curated record. Lineage: Eukaryota; Viridiplantae; Streptophyta; Magnoliopsida; Dioscoreales; Dioscoreaceae.